AAAGAGAUAAUUAAUUAUAAAAGUUAUUGUUGAAAAAAUAUUUUAAAUAAUUAAUUUGAAAUGAAAUGUUAAUCGUUUUUAAAUAUAUCUAGUUUUUUUAGAAAAAAAUUUAAUUUUAAAUUGUAUAAAAAAAAAAUAUUUAUUAAUAAAUAUUUUUUUUAUACAAUUUUAUAUUUUAAGGGAUAAGCUUUAAAUUAAAUUAAUAUAAUUAAAUUAAAAAUUUAUUGAAAAUUAUAUAAUUUAAAUUGUUAAAAAAUUUUAAUUUAUUAUAAAUAAUUUCAUUUUAAAUAAAAUUUUUUAAAAAUUUAUUUAUUUAUAAAAAAAUAAUUUUAAAUUUUUUUAAAAUUAGUUAUAAUGAUAAAAUUAGUAUAUAAUGUAAAUUAUAAAAUAAAAUAAUUUAGAUAAUUAAUAAAAAGGAAUUCGGCAAAAAUUUAUAUUCCCUUGUUUAUCAAAAACAUGUCUUUUUGUAAAUAAUAUAAAGUCUAAUCUGCCCCCUGAUAAAUAUAUUAAAGGGCUGCAGUAUUUUGACUGUACAAAGGUAGCAUAAUCAUUAGUCAUUUAAUUGAUGACUUGUAUGAAAGAUUGAAUGAGAUAUAAACUGUCUUUAUAUUAAAUUAUAAAAUUUAAUUUUUUAAUUAAAAAGUUAAAAUAUAAAAAAAAGACGAGAAGACCCCUAUAGAGUUUUAUAAAAAUUUUAAUUAAAAUUAAUUUUUAAUUUAAUUAUUAAAAUUAAAAUUUUUAUUUUGUUGGGGUGAUAAAAAAAUAAAAUUAACUUUUUUUUUAAUUUAACAUAAAUAAAUGAUAAAUUGAUCCAAUUUUAUUGAUUAAAAGAAAAAAUUACCUUAGGGAUAACAGCGUAAUUUUUUUUUUUAGUUCAAAUAAAAAAAAGAGUUUGCGACCUCGAUGUUGGAUUAAGAUAAAAUUUAAAUGCAGAAGUUUAAAAUUUUUG
RNAcentral lists this ribosomal RNA (949 nucleotides) under Ariolica argentea. RNAcentral describes it as "partial 16S rRNA". Lineage: Eukaryota; Metazoa; Arthropoda; Insecta; Lepidoptera; Nolidae. The record is from RNAcentral.